This 1240-nucleotide ribosomal RNA is filed under the name metagenome. Its description in RNAcentral is "bacterial LSU rRNA". It matches the Rfam family "Bacterial large subunit ribosomal RNA", at positions 1564 to 2814 of the family's 2925-position model. The record is from RNAcentral.
UGAAUACGAGAUGCUACGGCAUUGAAGCAGUCUAUGUCAGACUUCCAAGAAAAGCUCGCAAUGUCAUAAACAAUUAAUGCCUGUACCAUAACCGACACAGGUGAGUAGGUAGAGUAUACUAAGGGGCGCGAGAUAACUCUCUCUAAGGAACUCGGCAAAAUGACUCUGUAACUUCGGGAGAAGGAGUGCCUUAUUUUAUAAGGUUGCAAUAACAAGAUCCAAGCAACUGUUUACCAAAAACACAGGUCUCCGCUAAGUCGUAAGACGAUGUAUGGGGGCUGACGCCUGCCCAGUGCCAGAAGGUUAAAGAAGUUGGUUAACCUAGCGAAGCUGAUGACUGAAGCCCUGGUGAACGGCGGCCGUAACGAUAACGGUCCUAAGGUAGCGAAAUUCCUUGUCGGGUAAGUCCCGACCCGCACGAAAGGCGUAAUGAUUUGGAUACUGUCUCGGAGAGGGGCUCGGUGAAAUAGACUUGUCUGUGAAGAUGCGGACUACCUGCACCUGGACAGAAAGACCCUAUGAAGCUUUACUGUAACUUGAGAUUGAAAUUGGACUUUAUUUGCGCAGUAUAGGUGGGAGACGUUGAGAAUAUUCUUGCGGGAAUAUUGGAGUCAUCAGUGAGAUACCACUCUUGUAAUGUUAGAUUUCUAACUUUGAAUCAUUAUCUGGUCAAAGAACAGUCUCAGGCGGGCAGUUUGACUGGGGCGGUCGCCUCCUAAACGGUAACGGAGGCGCACAAAGGUUUCCUCUGAACGUGUAGAAAUCGUAUCUAGAGUGUAAAGGCAUAAGGAAGCUUGACUGUGAGACCUACAAGUCGAGCAGGGACGAAAGUCGGUCUUAGUGAUCUGACGGUGCUGAGUGGAAAGGCCGUCACUCAACGGAUAAAAGUUACUCUAGGAUAACAGGCUGAUCUCCCCCAAGAGUUCACAUCGACGGGGAGGUUUGGCACCUCGAUGUCGGCUCAUCGCAUCCUGGGGCGGUAGUACGUCCCAAGGGUUGGGCUGUUCGCCCAUGAAAGCGGUACGCGAGCUGGGUUCAGAACGUCGUGAGACGGUUCGGUCCAUAUCCGGUGUAGGCGUUAGAAUAUUGAGAGGAGCCUUCUUUAGUACGAGAGGACCGAGAAGGACAUACCUCUGGUGUACCAGUUAUCGUGCCAACGGUAAACGCUGGGUAGCUAUGUAUGGAGUGGAUAACCGCUGAAAGCAUCUAAGUGGGAAGCCCACCUCAAGAUAAGUAUUCC